CUAGCCUACGGGGCGCAGCAGUGGGGAAUAUUGCACAAUGGGGGAAACCCUGAUGCAGCAACGCCGCGUGAGUGAAGGAGUAUUUCGGUAUGUAAAGCUCUAUCAGUAGGGAAGAAGAAAGACGGUACCUGACUAAGAAGCCCCGGCUAACUACGUGCCAGCAGCCGCGGUAAUACGUAGGGGGCAAGCGUUAUCCGGAUUUACUGGGUGUAAAGGGAGCGUAGACGGCGGUGCAAGUCUGAAGUGAAAGCCCGUGGCUCAACCGCGGAACUGCUUUGGAAACUGGAUGGCUUGAGCACUGGAGG
RNAcentral lists this ribosomal RNA (305 nucleotides) under uncultured bacterium. RNAcentral describes it as "bacterial SSU rRNA". It matches the Rfam family "Bacterial small subunit ribosomal RNA", at positions 333 to 655 of the family's 1533-position model. The record is from RNAcentral.